GUUCGGACUGCUGAAAGGAUUAUUGGUACUCCCCUGCCCACCCUUCAAGAACUGUAUACAUCCAGAGUGAGGAAAAGGGCUCAGAAAAUCACUCUGGAUCCCUCACACCCAAGUUACCCCAUCUUUGAACUCUUGCCAUCUGGCCGGCGCUUCAGAGCCGCAAAUACCAGGACAGUCAGGCACAAGAACAGUUUCUUCCCCCAGGCAAUCUACCUCAUGAACAGUUAAAUGUUCCCCACUUAUACAAUAAAAAUGUGCAAUAUCCUUAUAUUUAUUUGUUACCCCUUCAUCCUAGUACAUCCCUGCAUCUUACUCAAUCCAACUCCAUUAUCAUUUAUAGCACAAUUGUUUAUACACUUAUUUAUCUGCAAAGGGUUUUUAUUUUUUAUUUUUCUGACUGUGUGUUGUUGUCUUUUGUGUACUGGAAGCUUAUGUCACUAAAACAAAUUCCUUGUAUGCGCAAGCAUACUUGGCAAUAAAGCUCUUUCUGAUUCUGAUUCUGAUUCUGAUUCUGAUUCUGAUUCUGAUGCACCGUGUUCAUGACAGUGUUUAUGUAACUGCACUUCCCAGGUGCUGCAGUGGCCAGUUUCUGGAUACUGAAGAACUGAAAGCAUGACUUUAUGAGUAGUCGACUUUCACUUGUAUAUGUUUUGAACACCUCGCUCCCUCUUUCCUGCACUCUGUCUCUUGUUUUUAUUUUUUUAAAUAGCCCCUCAUGAACCUACAAAGCCUUUACUGUACAGAAAGAGAAGGCUGAUGUCUUUUCUGACGCAAAACCAUGUUUAUCUGUAGUUGUAGAACUUCCAUAUCCAGGUCUGAGGAGAACUGUGUACAGAUUAACUAUUAGAGAAAACUAGUAUUGAGCCCAUGUACCUGUGGAACAUUAGAAUGUAUUUGCCCCUCGUUUAGCACCUUUCCGAAUAAAUGCUUACGACCAGCCUAUCACAGCCCGAUACAACAUGAUCACGGCCGAUGCAGCCUGAAGGCCCUGCUCCCUUGAUUUUCAGUGACAAAUGUUGAUGUUUUAAUAUUUCAGUCAAUAUGUAUUUUACCAAGGGCAUCUGUGUUGUCGGAAAUUGUAGAAAUGCAAUUUUUGUUUAUUAAACAGAUCAAUUUUAUCCUGUUAUUGAGUCUCAGAUUGUGUUUCACGAACGUGUUGCAUACUUAUACUGCUGAUUUUUGAAACAAAGGCAGUUUUAAAGUGCAACAAAGGUGAGAUUUACAUUUAUCAGACACUUUUAUCCAAAGCAACUUACAGUGCAUUCAGGCUAUACAUUUUUUACCAGUAUGUUCCCUGGGAAUUGAACCCACAACCUUUUGCGCUGCUAGCAAUGCUUGACCACUGAGCCAUAGGAACAGAUACAACUAAAUGGGCACAAAUAUAACGGAACAAAGCAAUAAGUAGCAGAUACCUAAACUAAACCAAACUACUAAAGUAACAGAUUUGGUUUUGCUGGGCCAAGAAGAGUGGUGAAUUAUUUUCUGCAUUAGGCUUACUUUGUUUACAUAGUCAGUAAUCUGGAAUCGGCCAUCUUUGAAAUGCCUCUCGGGCAGCUAUUUCAGUCAUGCAACUACAGCUCCUAUCUCAUUUCACCAAUGAAAUCUUAGCAAGAACUGCCUCAUAAAUGUUGUUUCUUAUGCACAAAUAGCAUUAAUAAAAGCUUAUCUUUAGCCUAG
Molecule: long non-coding RNA, 1677 nt
Organism: Cyprinus carpio carpio
Lineage: Eukaryota; Metazoa; Chordata; Actinopteri; Cypriniformes; Cyprinidae
Source: Ensembl